Molecule: non-coding RNA, 23 nt
Filed under: Callorhinchus milii (elephant shark)
Lineage: Eukaryota; Metazoa; Chordata; Chondrichthyes; Chimaeriformes; Callorhinchidae
Also listed under: 1 other name
Source: RNAcentral
CUGUGCGUGUGACAGCGGCUAAC